GACGAACGCUGGCGGCGUGCUUAACACAUGCCAGUCGAACGGAAAGGCCCUGCUUUUGUGGGGUGCUCGAGUGGCGAACGGGUGAGUAACACGUGAGUAACCUGCCCUUGACUUUGGGAUAACUUCAGGAAACUGGGGCUAAUACCGGAUAGGAGCUCCUGCUGCAUGGUGGGGGUUGGAAAGUUUCGGCGGUUGGGGAUGGAUUCGCGGCUUAUCAGCUUGUUGGUGGGGUAGUGGCUUACCAAGGCUUUGACGGGUAGCCGGCCUGAGAGGGUGACCGGCCACAUUGGGACUGAGGUACGGCCCAGACUCCUACGUGAGGCAGCAGUGGGGAAUAUUGCACAAUGGGCGGAAGCCUGAUGCAGCAACGCCGCGUGCGGGAUGACGGCCUUCGGGUUGUAAACCGCUUUCGCCUGUGACGAAGCGUGAGUGACGGUAAUGGGUAAAGAAGCACCGGCUAACUACGUG
This 468-nucleotide ribosomal RNA is filed under the name uncultured bacterium. Its description in RNAcentral is "partial 16S ribosomal RNA". It matches the Rfam family "Bacterial small subunit ribosomal RNA", at positions 28 to 507 of the family's 1533-position model. The record is from RNAcentral.